UUCGUCCUACGGGACGCAGCAGUGGGGAAUAUUGCACAAUGGGGGAAACCCUGAUGCAGCGACGCCGCGUGGGUGACGAAGUAUUUCGGUAUGUAAAGCCCUAUCAGCAGGGAAGAAGAUGACAGUACCUGACUAAGAAGCCCCGGCUAACUACGUGCCAGCAGCCGCGGUAAUACGAAGGGGGCAAGCGUUAUCCGGAUUUACUGGGUGUAAAGGGAGCGUAGGUGGCAUGGCAUGCCAGAAGUGAAAACCCGGGGCUUAACACCGCGGAUGGCUUUUGGAACUGUCAGGCUGGAGUGCAGGAG
RNAcentral lists this ribosomal RNA (305 nucleotides) under uncultured bacterium. RNAcentral's name for it is "bacterial SSU rRNA". It matches the Rfam family "Bacterial small subunit ribosomal RNA", at positions 333 to 654 of the family's 1533-position model. The record is from RNAcentral.